This is a long non-coding RNA of Pteronotus mesoamericanus, 2031 nucleotides long. RefSeq lists it as uncharacterized. The record is from RefSeq and is a predicted model, not a curated record. Lineage: Eukaryota; Metazoa; Chordata; Mammalia; Chiroptera; Mormoopidae. The transcript is spliced from 4 exons.
CAUUUCAGUUCACCACUGAAUCCAAAAGACAAUGGUUUCAAUGACAAAGGAGUAUCUAAACCAAAUGAAGAAUUCAUCUCUUUCUUUUUUUAGUGUGAAACUCAUUCAUGAAGAGACCACUGCUUGCGCCUGCAGCAACAAUGGGUGCAGAAGGCUGUACAGAUAGAAUGGAGGAGAUGAUACCAGUUCAUCUUUUUGUCUAGAUGAGCUGAGUAUGUAUCCUGAGUGUGACCUUUGAGACCACCAGAGGAAAUUUUCCAAGUGAUGCUAUUUGGUUGUGCCACUGGAUUGACCUGUAUUCAUUUUCCACUCCCUUCAAGAUCUGAGUUGGGGCUGCCACUGAAAGCCGUGGAAUAUGGAGGACCUUAUUUGUAUAUGAUCUUAAGAGAAAGAAGUCACCCCUGUAGAUUCAUACCAGCCAGACUCCUUCUUGACUUUCAUCUUUGCUAUGUUCCUCUGGCUGCAUCACUGGCGUUUCCGCAAAGGCAGCAGCAUCAACAUUCCGACAGUGAGCUAUUUCUUCUAGAGACAAAUUGAUUCUAAAGUUCACAUGGAAAAACAAACAUUGUAGAAGAAGCCAUGAAGUCAUUGAAAAUGGAGAGUUACAAGAGGAUGAUUAACUCUAUCAGAUACUGAAGAAUAUAAAGGGAUGAAAAUUUUUAAUUUCUUUCUGUAGUAUUUAUGUUGCAAUUCUAUUUUUCAAUAUGAUUUAGGCCAUAAAUAUUUUUAUGCCAUUCCUAGUCACAUAAUAAUCACCUAUAUAUCUGAUACCACUGCUGUUCUUUCAUUUUUAUUCAGAUAGCAUUGAUUUAUAACAUUAUACAGGUUUCAGAUGAGUGAUAUAAUGAACUAAAUUCACAGAGAGAUUAAAUAUAUGCUAGAGAAGGCAUUUAAAACCAUGGGGGAAGAAAUAAGGAAAUAAAUGGAGUUGGGAACAAAUGGUUAACCAUCUGAGAAAAAGAUAAAGCUGAAUAUCAUCUGACUCCUUAUACCAAAAUAAUUUCCAGAUGGCUGGAACAUCUAAAUUUGAAGUGAUAAAAGAGUUUUGGAAUGGGAAAGAGCUAUGGAAGCAAAACAAAAAAAGAUGCCUUUAAUAAAUAAUUUCAUGAAUUAACUAUACUGAAAAAUAAUAUGUUUUGUGGGGAAAAACUGAAACAAAAUUAAAAUACAAAGGGGAAGUAGAAAAUAAAUAUUUUGCAAUUUAUUUUGCAGGAAAAAUGUUUGUUUUGUGUAUAAAUAUCUAUUACAAAUAAAUGGUAAGACCAAUGUUCAACAGAAAAAAUUUCCCAGAAAGUAAAAUAUAAAUGGCUGCAAAAAAUUGAAAAGAAUCCCAGCAUCUCUCAUUAGAGAAAUCCAAAUUGAAACAAUAAAAUAGUAGUUUUCACCUAUCAUGCUGACAAAGUUCAAAAAAUUAACAUACAGCAUUAUCAUUAGGAUGCUGAGAAAUAAGCAUUUUCACAGUCUAAUAUAGGGAGUUUAAAUUAAUGCAAAUUCUUUGGAAAAGUUUUAGCAAUGAUUAUUAAACUGUAAAAUGCACAUAUCUUUUGACUCAGAAAUUUCUAUUCUGUGAGUUUAUCCUAUAGAUAUACUUGCAUAACAGGUACACAAAAAUAAAUACAUAAAUAUUCACUAAAACUGUGUUUAUUGUACAGAAACAUUUGGAAACACCUAAAUGUUCAUGAGAAUAAACUGGUGAACUAAACAAUGGUAUGUAUUUGCACUACAAUACCCUACUCCCCCACCCCAUCUUGAGUAAGGAAAGAAAACAAGGAAAGAAGGGAAAGAAGAAGGGAGGAAGGAAGAUGUUCUGAAAUGAAACCAUGCUCCCAUUAUGUCAUAAAUAUGCUGAUGCAUGCAAAGAACAUUUCUAGGACUCUAAUGAAUUAUUGGUAAAAAUCAUUACUCCUAAGGAUAUAAAUUAGAUAAUUCAGGGUUUGAGUUGAGAGGAAAAUUUAUUUCUCCUUUUUUCUAAAAAGAAAAACCAAAACCCUAUAUAACCCCUAACAUUGUUUGAAUUUUUAUUAUGUAUUG